UUCUGCCAGGGAACGGGGUGAGGCCACCGAUGCUGGGAGUGAUUUGGAAUAAGCACCCAGGGAGCUCGAGGCGGCGGUCAGGCAUUCGGGGCCAGCGUCUCUGAUGCGGGGCCCCCCAGACCGACACUCCGCUGCUGUGAGUCGCUGCGGCCACACCACGCGUCCGUGUGCAAACACUCCACACCGGUCGGUAAACAGCCGCAGCCCGCUCGCCCGACACCUCCCGCCACCGCACAGCCAGCCAGCGGGGAACACACGGCCCAGCAGAGGGCCUCCAGGAGCUGGCGCGGAGGACCCCGCGGACGGCUGCUCUGGCAGGCUGCAGAGUGGAAAGGGCCCACCCAGUAAGGACUUAAGAGGACCGGUGUAAAUGCUGAUCUCUCUGACCGAGGCCUUCUCUUCCUGAAGUGCCUGCCCAAAGGGGCGUGCAAAUUGUAACCACUCUGCUUGCACUAGCUGCUCCAGACAGGGUCUAUCCUCUGCCACCGUGCAUGGGCUUCAGCCUGUCAAGGAUGCCCAUGGUCCUGCUACAGCACUGCAGGUUCUGGGCCAGCUGGGCCAGGUAACCUGGUGGCCAGAGUGGAAGAGAUGAUGUAAAGAUGCAGAUUGUUUAACCUGGAGAAGAGCAGGUGGUCCAAGGGGCCAUGGUUAGAAGUCUUCAAAUGCAUGCAUAGUAGGAAAAACAUGAAAGUGUUCUGUACAGCUUUGAGGGGUGGAAUCAAGUGGGCCCAGUGCUAGGAUUUAAGAGGUCAGAUUUUUUUUUUCUAACCAUCUUAUCCAUUUUAAAGUGUACAAUUUGGUAUUGUUAAGUAUAUUCACAUCAUUGUACAACAUCUUGCAAAACGGAAACUCUAUACCCAUUAAACAUUAAUUCCCACUCACUCAAGCCCUUGGCAACCACCUUUCUACUUUCUGUCUCUAUGAUUUUCACUACUUUAGAUACUUCAUGUGAGUGGAAUCAUACAGUAUCUGUCCUGUUGUGACUGAUUUAUUUCACUUAGUAUAGUGUGCUUAAAGUUCAUCCAUAUUGUAGCAUGUGACAGGAUUUCCCUCUUUUUUAAGGCUAUAUAAUAUUUCAUUGUAUGUAUAGACCACAU
Molecule: long non-coding RNA, 1097 nt
Organism: Lagenorhynchus albirostris (white-beaked dolphin)
Lineage: Eukaryota; Metazoa; Chordata; Mammalia; Artiodactyla; Delphinidae
Exons: 3
Source: RefSeq, a predicted model, not a curated record